GUGAGGUGUCCCUUGAGGAGAAGGGAGGGUGGGUGCGCGGAGUCCGCGGCCUGGGGCGCUUCAACCCCUCACUUGGAAGCGCCUCGCGUCCCAGCAGAGCCAGCGGAGCAUCCUACUCAGGUGAUGAGGAACCCUCCGGGCACCCAGCGCAGAUCGCUGCUGCCGCUGGACGCCUCCAUUGUUUGACCAUAACAAGGGCCGGAUUCUCACCCAGGAUCCUGAGGCUCUUGUUGCCCUUCAGCCACUGUGGGCCCUGCCUCUUCCUCUGGAAUGUCUUGGGGGUUUUGACUUCUGUCACUGUGGUAAGUGUUGCCCUUUUUUCACCAUUUCUGUAGAUGGAGAAUCACCCUCAACU
This 355-nucleotide long non-coding RNA is filed under the name Bos mutus (wild yak). RNAcentral describes it as "lncRNA (ENSBMUG00000012978.1)". The record is from RNAcentral. Lineage: Eukaryota; Metazoa; Chordata; Mammalia; Artiodactyla; Bovidae.